GAUGAAGAACGUAGCGAAAUGCGAUACGUAAUGUGAAUUGCAGAAUUCAGUGAAUCAUCGAAUCUUUGAACGCACAUUGCGCCCGCCAGUAUUCUGGCGGGCAUGCCUGUUCGAGCGUCAUUACAACCCUCAGGCCCCCGGGCCUGGCGUUGGGGAUCGGCGGAGCCCCCCGUGGGCACACGCCGUCCCCCAAAUGCAGUGGCGGUCCCGCCGCAGCUUCCAUCGCGUAGUAGCUAACACCUCGCGACUGGAGAGCGGCGCGGCCACGCCGUAAAACACCCAACUCUUCUGAAGUUGACCUCGAAUCAGGUAGGAAUACCCGCUGAACUUAAGCAUAUCAAUAAGCGGAGA
RNAcentral lists this unclassified non-coding RNA (351 nucleotides) under soil metagenome. RNAcentral describes it as "partial contains 5.8S ribosomal RNA, internal transcribed spacer 2, and large subunit ribosomal RNA". The stretch from base 1 to 120 matches the Rfam family "5.8S ribosomal RNA", at positions 35 to 154 of the family's 154-position model. The record is from RNAcentral.